GAUGAACGCUGGCGGCGUGCCUAAUACAUGCAAGUCGAGCGAACGGACGAGAAGCUUGCUUCUCUGAUGUUAGCGGCGGACGGGUGAGUAACACGUGGAUAACCUACCUAUAAGACUGGGAUAACUUCGGGAAACCGGAGCUAAUACCGGAUAAUAUUUUGAACCGCAUGGUUCAAAAGUGAAAGACGGUCUUGCUGUCACUUAUAGAUGGAUCCGCGCUGCAUUAGCUAGUUGGUAAGGUAACGGCUUACCAAGGCAACGAUGCAUAGCCGACCUGAGAGUGUGAUCGGCCACACUGGAACUAAGACACGGUCCAGACUCCUACGGGAGGCAGCAGUAGGGAAUCUUCCGCAAUGGGCUAAAGCCUGACGGAGCAACGCCACGUGAGUGAUGAAGAUCUUCGCAUCGUAAAACUCUGUUAUUAGGGAAGAACAUAUGUGUAAGUAACUGUGCACAUCUUGACGGUACCUAAUCAGAAGGCCGCGGCUAACUACCUG
Molecule: ribosomal RNA, 497 nt
Filed under: uncultured bacterium
Lineage: Bacteria
Description: partial 16S ribosomal RNA
Rfam family: Bacterial small subunit ribosomal RNA
Source: RNAcentral